UACAGAGGCCCCAAGCAUUAUCCGGAAUCACUGGGCGUAAAGGGUGUGCAGGCGGCGAUAUUAGUCUUUCGUGAAAGAUCUCCGGCUUAACCGGGGAGACGCGGGGGAAACGGUAUCGCUUUGAGGGCGCGAGAGGUAGAGGGAACUCAUGGUGUAGGGGUGAAAUCCGUUGAUAUCAUGGGGAACACCAAAUGCGAAGGCACUCUACUGGCGCGUACCUGACGCUGAGACACGAAAGCGUGGGAAUCGAACGGG
RNAcentral lists this ribosomal RNA (255 nucleotides) under uncultured bacterium. RNAcentral's name for it is "partial 16S ribosomal RNA". It matches the Rfam family "Bacterial small subunit ribosomal RNA", at positions 524 to 776 of the family's 1533-position model. The record is from RNAcentral.